This 465-nucleotide ribosomal RNA is filed under the name uncultured Klebsiella sp. RNAcentral describes it as "bacterial SSU rRNA". It matches the Rfam family "Bacterial small subunit ribosomal RNA", at positions 338 to 795 of the family's 1533-position model. Lineage: Bacteria; Pseudomonadati; Pseudomonadota; Gammaproteobacteria; Enterobacterales; Enterobacteriaceae. The record is from RNAcentral.
CCUACGGGGUGCUGCAGUGGGGAAUAUUGCACAAUGGGCGCAAGCCUGAUGCAGCCAUGCCGCGUGUGUGAAGAAGGCCUUCGGGUUGUAAAGCACUUUCAGCGGGGAGGAAGGCGGUGAGGUUAAUAACCUCAUCGAUUGACGUUGCCCGCAGAAGAAGCACCGGCUAACUCCGUGCCAGCAGCCGCGGUAAUACGGAGGGUGCAAGCGUUAAUCGGAAUUACUGGGCGUAAAGCGCACGCAGGCGGUCUGUCAAGUCGGAUGUGAAAUCCCCGGGCUCAACCGGGGAACUGCAUUCGAAACGGGCAGGCUAGAGUCUUGUAGAGGGGGGUAGAAUUCCAGGUGGAGCGGUGAAAUGCGUAGAGAUCUGGAGGAAUACCGGUGGCGAAGGCGGCCCCCUGGACAAAGACUGACGCUCAGGUGCGAAAGCGUGGGGAGCAAACAGGAUUAGAUACCCGAGUAGUC